UUAUGGCUCAGGACGAACGCUGGCGGCGUGCCUAACACAUGCAAGUCGAGCGGGGACAUGCGACGGAUAGGAAGUUUCGGAUGGACUUGAAGAUGCAUUGUUCUAGCGGCGGACGGGUGAGUAACGCGUGAGCAACCUGUCCCUUACAGGGGGAUAACACAGCGAAAGUUGUACUAAUACCGCAUAAGACCACGGGAGGACAUCCUUCAGGGGUCAAAGGAGGAAUCCGGUAAGGGGUGGGCUCGCGUCCGAUUAGAUAGUUGGUGAGGUAACGGCCCACCAAGUCGACGAUCGGUAGCCGACCUGAGAGGGUGAUCGGCCACAUUGGGACUGAGACACGGCCCAAACUCCUACGGGAGGCAGCAGUGGGGAAUAUUGGGCAAUGGGGGGAAACCCUGACCCAGCAACGCCGCGUGAGGGAAGAAGGUUUUCGGAUCGUAAACCUCUGUCCUUGGUGAAGAGGAAGAGACGGUAGCCAAGGAGGAAGCCCCGGCUAACUACGUGCCAGCCGCUGC
Molecule: ribosomal RNA, 515 nt
Filed under: uncultured bacterium
Lineage: Bacteria
Description: bacterial SSU rRNA
Rfam family: Bacterial small subunit ribosomal RNA
Source: RNAcentral